This 408-nucleotide ribosomal RNA is filed under the name uncultured bacterium. RNAcentral describes it as "partial 16S ribosomal RNA". It matches the Rfam family "Bacterial small subunit ribosomal RNA", at positions 29 to 526 of the family's 1533-position model. The record is from RNAcentral.
AGUGAACGCUGGCGGCGUGCCUAAUACAUGCAAGUCGAACGGAGUGGCGCACGGGUGAGUAAUAUAUAGCUAAUCUUCCCCUUGCUGGAGGACAACAGUUAGAAAUGACUGCUAAUACUCCAUCGAAAAGUAUGAGACUAUCUCGUGUCAGCUAGUCGGUGGGGUAACGGCCUACAGAGGCUAUGACGAGUAACUGGUCUGAGAUGAUGAUCAUUAACAUUGGAACAGGAACACGGCGCAAGCUCUCACGGGAUGCAGCAGUAGGGAAUAUUGAGCAAUGGGGGAAAUCCUGACGCAGAAAAGCCGCGUGGAGGAUGACACUUUUCGGAGCGUAAACUCCUGAUGUUAGGGAAGCGGCACCUAACGACUAAGCACCGGCUAACUCCGUGCCAGCAGCAGGGGUAAAAG